AUAGCCGACCUGAGAGGGUGAUCGGCCACACUGGAACUGAGACACGGUCCAGACUCCUACGGGAGGCAGCAGUAGGGAAUCUUCCGCAAUGGGCGAAAGCCUGACGGAGCAACGCCGCGUGAGUGAUGAAGGUCUUCGGAUCGUAAAACUCUGUUAUUAGGGAAGAACAUAUGUGUAAGUAACUGUGCACAUCUUGACGGUACCUAAUCAGAAAGCCACGGCUAACUACGUGCCAGCAGCCGCGGUAAUACGUAGGUGGCAAGCGUUAUCCGGAAUUAUUGGGCGUAAAGCGCGCGUAGGCGGUUUUUUAAGUCUGAUGUGAAAGCCCACGGCUCAACCGUGGAGGGUCAUUGGAAACUGGAAAACUUGAGUGCAGAAGAGGAAAGUGGAAUUCCAUGUGUAGCGGUGAAAUGCGCAGAGAUAUGGAGGAACACCAGUGG
RNAcentral lists this ribosomal RNA (440 nucleotides) under Staphylococcus aureus. Its description in RNAcentral is "bacterial SSU rRNA". It matches the Rfam family "Bacterial small subunit ribosomal RNA", at positions 283 to 715 of the family's 1533-position model. The record is from RNAcentral. Lineage: Bacteria; Bacillati; Bacillota; Bacilli; Caryophanales; Staphylococcaceae.